This 749-nucleotide long non-coding RNA is filed under the name Homo sapiens (human). RNAcentral describes it as "HSALNT0253522". The record is from RNAcentral. Lineage: Eukaryota; Metazoa; Chordata; Mammalia; Primates; Hominidae.
CUUGUUUUUGGGCAAUCUAGCCAAGGUGUCACAUAAUGGAGAAAAAUGCAGAUGGUCCUGUGGCUGGUGUGAAUGAAGAAUGACCUGGGCCCAACAUAGAACUUUUCCAGUAUGGAUCACACGGGACUUGAGCAUGUACUGUGGGAACAGAGCAUGGCCAUCUCUGUCUCCCUGGGAAGGAAGAUGUGGAGAGGCUUGGAUAAUGAUUUGAUAACACCUUGUGCAUCCUCCUAACCCUCCUGAAAAAAACAAAGUGAGGAAAGGAGGAAUUUUAGGAAAAAGGAGAAAACCAAGGAACUGGAAGAAACAGAAGAGUACCCAGCCAUUUGGGGAUGAGGAAGCAGCUUACGAUGAUGGGGUUCAGUUUGGACUGGGAUUGCAGCAGAAAGGGGCACUUGGAAGGCAGGGGGAAGAAGUCUACAGAUGACCUUUAGAUUUUGGGUUCAGGAGUGUGAAUUUUAGCUGAUGAGCGAGGGGAGACUUUGGAAGGUCUCUGCAUGUGGGGAGCCAAACUCUAGAGAAGACAUCAGUGAACUGCUGAUUUGGAGUGACUGACACUUAUUCCUGAGAGUAGGAUUCUCCAGAGAAACAGAAACAAUAGGAGAUAAGAGAGACAGACAGAGACAGAGAGAUAAUGAGAGACAGGAAGAAAGAUUCAUUAUGAAGAACCUGGAGCUGUGCGGACUGAGACUGAGAUGCAUCGCUGAAACUCUCUUUAGGUGUUCCCUACCAUUUCUUCUUGGAAAAGA